RNAcentral lists this ribosomal RNA (460 nucleotides) under uncultured bacterium. RNAcentral describes it as "partial 16S ribosomal RNA". It matches the Rfam family "Bacterial small subunit ribosomal RNA", at positions 338 to 795 of the family's 1533-position model. The record is from RNAcentral.
CCUACGGGUGGCAGCAGUGAGGAAUAUUGGUCAAUGGGCGCGAGCCUGAACCAGCAAAGUAGCGUGAAGGAUGACUGCCCUACGGGCUGUAAACUUCUUUUAUAAAGGAAUAAAGUGAGGCACGUGUGCAUUUUUGUAUGUACUUUAUGAAUAAGGAUAGGCUAACUCCGUGUCAGAAGCCGCGGUAAUACGGAGGAUCCGAGCGUUAUCCGGAUUUAUUGGGUUUAAAGGGAGCGUAGAUGGGUUGUUAAGUCAGUUGUGAAAGUUUGCGGCUCAACCGUAAACUUGCAAUUGAUACUGGCAGCCUUGAGUACAGUUGAGGUAGGUGGAAUUCGUGGUGUAGCGGUGAAAUGCUUAGAUAUCACGAAGAACUCCGAUUGCGAAAGCAGCUUACUAAACUGCCACUGACAUUGAUGCUCGAAAGUGUGGGUAUCAAACAGGAUUAGAUACCCUUGUAGUC